Small nuclear RNA from Styela clava, 139 nucleotides. RefSeq annotates it as U4 spliceosomal RNA. The record is from RefSeq and is a predicted model, not a curated record. Lineage: Eukaryota; Metazoa; Chordata; Ascidiacea; Stolidobranchia; Styelidae.
AGCUCUGCGCAGUGGCAGUAUCGUAACCAAUGAGGUUUAUCCGAGGUGUGAUUAUUGCUAGUUGAAAACUAUUACCAAUACCCCGCCCUGAUGGAGCUUACGCACUGCCUAUGACAAUUUCUGAAGGGUUCUGCGGAAC